Small nucleolar RNA from Heterocephalus glaber (naked mole-rat), 72 nucleotides. Ensembl annotates it as small nucleolar RNA, C/D box 107. Lineage: Eukaryota; Metazoa; Chordata; Mammalia; Rodentia; Bathyergidae. The record is from Ensembl.
GGUUUGUGAUGACACAGGACCUUGUCUUAACAUUAUGAUUUUGUAUUUUGAGCUUUAUGUGACACUGAAAUC